CUUCCAGUAGCACCUUGAGACCAACUAAGUUUGUUAUUGGUAUGAGCUUUCGUGUGCAUGCACACUUCUUCAGAUACAUGCAUCGAACUUAGUUGGUCUCAAGGUGCUACUGGAAG
Podarcis lilfordi (Lilford's wall lizard) is the source of this 116-nucleotide non-coding RNA. NCBI's taxonomy places the organism in Eukaryota, Metazoa, Chordata, Lepidosauria, Squamata, Lacertidae. The record is from the annotation of a GenBank genome assembly.